Molecule: ribosomal RNA, 497 nt
Filed under: uncultured bacterium
Lineage: Bacteria
Description: partial 16S ribosomal RNA
Rfam family: Bacterial small subunit ribosomal RNA
Source: RNAcentral
GAUGAACGCUGGCGGCGUGCCUAAUACAUGCAAGUCGAGCGAACGGACGAGAAGCUUGCUUCUCUGAUGUUAGCGGCGGACGGGUGAGUAACACGUGGAUAACCUACCUAUAAGACUGGGAUAACUUCGGGAAACCGGAGCUAAUACCGGAUGAUAUUUUGAACUGCAUGGUUCAAAAGUGAAAGACGGUCUUGCUGUCACUUAUAGAUGGAUACGCGCUGCAUUAGCUAGUUGGUAAGGUAACGGCUUACCAAGGCAACGAUGCAUAGCCGACCUGAGAGGGUGAUCGGCCACACUGGAACUGAGACACGGUCCAGACUCCUACGGGAGGCAGCAGUAGAGAAUCUUCCGCAAUGGGCGAGAGCCUGACGGAGCAACGCCGCGUGAGUGAUGAAGGUCUUCGGAUCGUAAAACUCUGUUAUUAGGGAAGAACAUAUGUGUAAGUACCUGUGCACAUCUUGACGGUACCUAAUCAGAAAGCCACGGCUAACUACGUG